ACCAAGUCAUUGAGUACAUUUAAAAAGAGGAUAGAAGAAAAGGAUUCACUACUGGAGGAGAGCUAUAAACAACAAGAGGACACAGAGAGAAGACUGAAGAAAGCCUCAACAGAACUGGAGGAGAAGACUCAACACCUUCAGGAGAAAGAGACACAACUAGAAGAUGUUAAACAUGAAAACACUCAACUUGUACAGCAGAUAUGUGACCUAAAGACUGAGAUAGCAAGACAAAGAAAAUAAUCAAAUCAGACCAGUGUGGGAGGAGAGACCCCAUAUACACAUGCCACACAACCUAUUAGAAGAAGAAAUAGUAUGUGGGAGCCUCCUGCGAGUAAGAACUAUUCAUUCUCAAAUACAUCAUGAUACUGUAGUUUGUAUUUUGACAGAGUGAAGGAGGUAAGAAACCGAUCAUCAUACCGCUAGAUAUUGUCACCUUUUGACCA
This is a long non-coding RNA of Osmerus eperlanus (European smelt), 443 nucleotides long. RefSeq lists it as uncharacterized. The record is from RefSeq and is a predicted model, not a curated record. The transcript is spliced from 3 exons. Lineage: Eukaryota; Metazoa; Chordata; Actinopteri; Osmeriformes; Osmeridae.